GUUGUUUAGGAAUUGUGCUUUUGUUUGAAGUUUGUGUUAGAUUGGUGGAUUUUGAGUGUUGUGAUGUCUUGCUGUGAUCAGGCUCAAAUCAAGUUGUUUAUGUGCAUUCUGGUAUGCUGGUGCUUGGUUAAGCUUAGUUUGUUGAGUUGAGGCAUGUUUUAUGUGUGUUUGUUGUCAAAGUCAAAUCUUGAGUUGGAUGGUUGAAAAAGCUUUUUAGUGGACAUUUGAUUUAGAAUUCUAGCACUCAAUUUAACUCUCUAUUGAUUUGAACAAGUUUUUAUAGUGGAAACACUUUGAUCUGGGCUGAAUUGAGUGUUUAGAAAUGUCUAAAAUCAAAAGUCAAAGUUGAGUUGGACCCUUUUUCUGUGCUGCAGAAUUCUGCAGCAAAUCUGCAUAAUUUGCGCUGGGCGCCACUUAUCUCACGCCCAACGUCACUUCUCACUGCCUCAAUAUGAAAUGUUGCACUUACCUCACGCCCAGCGCCACUAUUAUCGCGCCCAGCGCGAAGCUGCAGACUUUGAGUCUGACUUGGGCCGAUCUGCAUAUUUGGCCCAUUUGUCCCACUAGACUCAUUUUGACUCUCUGACCCCCUUUCUCCCACAAUCUCCUCACACUCACGUCAUUACUCUCAUCUUCCAAUACCACACAUUCUUCAUUUCAAAACUCUAACCCCAUUUUAAACAACCACUCACGCACUACCCACUACCAUCAACAGCACACUCACUUUCUUUGCCUUCCACUGCCACCUUCCUCUAAUACUCCUCAUUCCCACUCACGCACUACCCUAACUUUUUCACUCACAUUUCUUCCCCCAAAUCCGACACCAUCAUCACCAGUGGAGGCUGCUGCUGUCACCCCCCCAACGGCCCAAACCCAAGCAUUAUAACCACCACCCAUUCUCAGUUUCUCCACUGCCCACCAAGUGUUCGGUGCAUUGCCAAGCUUAGAGGCCACAAUUUUGCCACUGCAUUCUCACUUGUCCAAGUCCUCAAUUUCACAUUUCAACCCUCUCCAAUUCAAGUAGGCCAUGACACCUUUCUCCUUUUCAAACUUUAAUUUGUGAUAUGCUUGGUUGUGAUUUGUGUGAAAUUGGGUGGAGAAUUUUCUUGAUUUGCCUAUGCUUGAUUGUUUGUGAUUGCUUGAACCUUGGCAUACAAAACAUCCAUGCACAUUUGCCUCACCCAUUGAGUUAAGAGUAAGCCAUCACUGCAUAUGCAAAAUUUUUCUGCAUAAUGUUUCUGCACACUUCACGCUGGGCGCAACCAUACUGGCGCCAGGCGCCACUAUCCCUGCACCAGAAUUGAAAAAAUGGGGAUUUCCAGCAAGUUUUCAUGCCCAGCGUGACCUUUCUGGCACCCAGCAUCACUUCUCUGCACCCACCUUUUUCAAUUUUUUUGUGUUCUUACCCUCUUUUCUUCUUUCCUUUGGUUCCCACACAUUAUUGUGAUCCAAUUUGCCUGUUGUGUGCUUCUGAUUGAAUGCUUAUGGUUAUCUCUUUUGCAUGCUAACAUGUCCAACCAUUUGCUUCCAUUUGUUU
This 1537-nucleotide long non-coding RNA is filed under the name Vigna radiata. Its description in RNAcentral is "long non-coding RNA (VRAD_LNC006893)". Lineage: Eukaryota; Viridiplantae; Streptophyta; Magnoliopsida; Fabales; Fabaceae. The record is from RNAcentral.